RNAcentral lists this ribosomal RNA (786 nucleotides) under uncultured bacterium. RNAcentral describes it as "bacterial SSU rRNA". It matches the Rfam family "Bacterial small subunit ribosomal RNA", at positions 8 to 796 of the family's 1533-position model. The record is from RNAcentral.
AGAGUUUGAUCCUGGCUCAGAACGAACGCUGGCGGCGUGCUUAACACAUGCAAGUCGAGUGCGCGCCUGUAGCAAUACAGGUGGCGCACGGCGCACGGGUGCGUAACACGUGGGUAAUCUGCCCUCUGAUGGGGAAUAACCCGCCGAAAGGCGGGCUAAUACCGCAUAACAUUCCUUGGAUUUCGGUCCGGGGACUCAAAGGCGUAAGUCGUCGGAGGAGGAGCCCGCGCACGAUUAGCUAGUUGGUAGGGUAAUGGCCUACCAAGGCUUUGAUCGUUAGCUGGUCUGAGAGGAUGGCCAGCCACACUGGAACUGAGACACGGUCCAGACUCCUACGGGAGGCAGCAGUGGGGAAUCUUGCACAAUGGGCGAAAGCCUGAUGCAGCGACGCCGCGUGGGGGAUGAAGCAUUUCGGUGUGUAAACCCCUUUCGAUCCGGACGAAUACCUCGCAAGAGGGGUGACGGUACGGAUAUAAGAAGCCCCGGCUAACUACGUGCCAGCAGCCGCGGUAAGACGUAGGGGGCCAGCGUUGUUCGGAAUUACUGGGUGUAAAGGGUUCGUAGGCGGUGUGGCAAGUUGGGAGUGAAAUCUCUGGGCUCAACCCAGAGGCUGCUUCCAAAACUGCUGUGCUUGAGUGUGAGAGAGGCGCGUGGAAUUGCAGGUGUAGCGGUGAAAUGCGUAGAUAUCUGCAGGAACACCCGUGGCGAAAGCGGCGCGCUGGAUCACUACUGACGCUGAGGAACGAAAGCUAGGGGAGCAAACAGGAUUAGAUACCCUGGUAGUCC